Long non-coding RNA from Neomonachus schauinslandi (Hawaiian monk seal), 212 nucleotides. RefSeq lists it as uncharacterized. Lineage: Eukaryota; Metazoa; Chordata; Mammalia; Carnivora; Phocidae. The record is from RefSeq and is a predicted model, not a curated record. The transcript has 4 exons.
GGAGAGAAGAAAACUGCACAGGAUCUGUGGAGGUCUUCCCAUAGGCCUACAGUAGGGUUGGAAGCCAGGGAAAGGGGGAGACUGGCCUGGAACCAUGAAGAUCGGCCUGCAGGUCUGCUGUAGGGCUUGAGAUUACUGGAAGCAAAGAAACAAGGAGGAAAUUGCCCCUGAUCAGUAUAGCCUGGUCCACAGAUCUCAUGAGUUAAUAGAUC